UUGAACGCUGGCGGCAUGCUUUACACCUGCAAGUCGAACGGCAGCGCGGGCUUCGGCCUGGCGGCGAGUGGCGAACGGGUGAGUAAUACAUCGGAACGUGCCCAGUAGUGGGGGAUAGCUCGGCGAAAGCCGGAUUAAUACCGCAUACGACCUGAGGGUGAAAGCGGGGGAUCUUCGGACCUCGCGCUAUUGGAGCGGCCGAUGGCAGAUUAGCUAGUUGGUGGGGUAAAGGCCUACCAAGGCGACGAUCUGUAGCUGGUCUGAGAGGACGACCAGCCACACUGGGACUGAGACACGGCCCAGACUCCUACGGGAGGCAGCAGUGGGGAAUUUUGGACAAUGGGCGAAAGCCUGAUCCAGCAAUGCCGCGUGUGUGAUGAAGGCCUUCGGGUUGUAAAGCACUUUUGGCGGGAACGAAAAGGACUGUGCCAAUACCACGGUUCGAUGACGGCACCCGCAGAAUAAGCACCGGCUAACUACGUG
Molecule: ribosomal RNA, 483 nt
Filed under: uncultured bacterium
Lineage: Bacteria
Description: partial 16S ribosomal RNA
Rfam family: Bacterial small subunit ribosomal RNA
Source: RNAcentral